Molecule: long non-coding RNA, 1049 nt
Organism: Chelonia mydas (Green sea turtle)
Lineage: Eukaryota; Metazoa; Chordata; Testudines; Cheloniidae
Exons: 3
Source: RefSeq, a predicted model, not a curated record
GCCAGGAACAGAUCAGGAAUGCUCUUCAGAACUCCUGUAAAAAUCUGCACACGGGUUCAAAGUGACUUGAGGAGCCAGUGAACAGGAGCAGCAAACAGGAGAUUUUGUGAGGGAGUUCUCCAGGUGAAAGAGGAGACUACGUGAUUCAUGGGGUUCUCAGAGGCAACUAAACAAUUUGGACUCACCAUCAGUCUGGAAAAUAACUGAAGUCCUCUUCCAACCAGCUCCAUCAACCAUUACCACUGAGCCAAACAUCACCAUUGAUAGUAUAGAACUAAAGACCAUCAAUCACUUUACUUACCUUGGCAGUAUCCUCUCAACUGAUGGUUCCCUGGAUCAAGAAAUAUCCAAAUAGAACAUUCAAGGCAAGCCAGGCCUUCUGAAGACUUCACCAUAGGAUACUCAAUCAUCACACAGUCAACAAAACUGAUGAUAUACAAUGCCGCAGUGAUUGUAUCCCUUUUACAUGGGUGUGAAAUGUGGACAGUUUUUAUCACAGACACAUUAAGCAACUUGAAAAAUUUCACAUGCACGGUCUCCACUGUAUUCUGAAAGUCCAUUGGCAGACAAAGUCUCAAACAUUAACAUCCUUAAAAGAACAAAACCAAACAGCAUUAAGGCAUUGAUUAUCAUAGCUCGUCUUAAAUAGACGAGCCAUGUUAUUAGAAUGGGCAAUGAUAAACUCCCCCCAAAAGGUUUUCUAUGGCACUCUUAAAGCACAGGAGUUAAAAGUCUUCAAAGAGACCCUUAAGCAGAAUCUCAUCUCAUGCAGCAUAAAUAUUGGUCACUUUGAAGACAUAGCCAUGGACAGAUCUAAAUGGAGAGAAACGAUCAAUAAAUGUUAUAAACACUUUGAGGAAGACAGACAUGAAAAACUGAUUGAAAAAAGUGCCAAGCAUCAUAAUAAGUUUUCAAUGGGAGCCUGCGCGUUCCUGUGUGAUAUCUGUUCAUGAUAUUGCUCCUUGUGGAUCAGACUACACAGCCACAUGAAAACACAGGUGAUGCCAUGACAUCAGCAUCUGAUAUGACACACUGUUGUAUGAUUGUCU